RNAcentral lists this ribosomal RNA (466 nucleotides) under uncultured bacterium. Its description in RNAcentral is "bacterial SSU rRNA". It matches the Rfam family "Bacterial small subunit ribosomal RNA", at positions 355 to 825 of the family's 1533-position model. The record is from RNAcentral.
UAGGGAAUAUUGGACAAUGGGUGAGAGCCUGAUCCAGCCAUGCCGCGUGCAGGAAGAAGGCGUUAUGCGUUGUAAACUGCUUUUGCCAGGGGAUAAAAAGACCGUGCGCGGUUAAUUGAAGGUACCUGGUGAAUAAGCCACGGCUAACUACGUGCCAGCAGCCGCGGUAAUACGUAGGUGGCAAGCGUUGUCCGGAUUUAUUGGGUUUAAAGGGUGCGUAGGUGGCCCUGUAAGUCAGUGGUGAAAUAUCUCAGCUUAACUGAGAGGGUGCCAUUGAUACUGCAGGGCUUGAGUACAGAUGAGGUAGGCGGAAUUGACGGUGUAGCGGUGAAAUACAUAGAUAUCGUCAAGAACACCGAUAGCGAAGGCAGCUUACCAAGCUGUAACUGACACUGAGGCACGAAAGUGUGGGGAUCAAACAGGAUUAGAUACCCAUGUAGUCCCUGAGCGGGCUGGCAAGGCGCAU